UCGCGAAGUGGGGGUAAGGCUGCGUACAUUAUGACCCUCCCCAGACGCUGUAGUGGCAGGAGCCUCGUGUACUGGGUACACCUUUUUUUAAGGGGAAAAUUAUUAG
Molecule: long non-coding RNA, 106 nt
Organism: Telopea speciosissima
Lineage: Eukaryota; Viridiplantae; Streptophyta; Magnoliopsida; Proteales; Proteaceae
Exons: 3
Source: RefSeq, a predicted model, not a curated record